RNAcentral lists this ribosomal RNA (442 nucleotides) under uncultured bacterium. RNAcentral describes it as "partial 16S ribosomal RNA". It matches the Rfam family "Bacterial small subunit ribosomal RNA", at positions 338 to 795 of the family's 1533-position model. The record is from RNAcentral.
CCUACGGGUGGCAGCAGUGGGGGAUAUUGCACAAUGGGGGAAACCCUGAUGCAGCGACGCCGCGUGGGCGAAGAAGUAUUUCGGGAUGUAAAGCACUAUCAGCAGGGAAGAAGACAUGACGGUACCUGAGUAAGAAGCACCGGCUAAAUAGGUGACAGCAGCCGCGGUAAUACGGAGGGUGCAAGCGUUAUCCGGCUGUACUGGGUGUAAAGGGAGCGCAGGCGGCACGGCAAGCCUGAUGUGAAAGCCCGCGGCCCAACCGCGGGACUGCAUUGGGAACUACCAGGCUGGAGUGUCGGAGAGGUAGGUGGAAUUCCUAGUGUAGCGGUGAAAUGCGUAGAUAUUAGGAGGAACACCAGUGGCGAAGGCGGCCUACUGGACGGUGACUGACGCUGAGGCUCGAAAGCGUGGGGAGCAAACAGGAUUAGAUACCCGAGUAGUC